AACGAACGCUGGCGGCAUGCCUAACACAUGCAAGUCGAACGAGACCUUCGGGUCUAGUGGCGCACGGGUGCGUAACGCGUGGGAACCUGCCCUUAGGUUCGGAAUAACUCCCCGAAAGGGGUGCUAAUACCGGAUAAUGUCUUCGGACCAAAGAUUUAUCGCCUUUGGAUGGGCCCGCGUUGGAUUAGCUAGUUGGUAGGGUAAAAGCCUACCAAGGCGACGAUCCAUAGCUGGUCUGAGAGGAUGAUCGGCCACACUGGGACUGAGACACGGCCCAGACUCCUACGGGAGGCAGCAGUGGGGAAUAUUGGACAAUGGGCGAAAGCCUGAUCCAGCAAUGCCGCGUGAGUGAUGAAGGCCUUAGGGUUGUAAAGCUCUUUUACCCGGGAUGAUAAAGACAGUACCGGGAGAAUAAGCUCCGGCUAACUCCGUG
This 433-nucleotide ribosomal RNA is filed under the name uncultured bacterium. RNAcentral's name for it is "partial 16S ribosomal RNA". It matches the Rfam family "Bacterial small subunit ribosomal RNA", at positions 29 to 507 of the family's 1533-position model. The record is from RNAcentral.